RNAcentral lists this unclassified non-coding RNA (280 nucleotides) under Hevea brasiliensis (rubber tree). Lineage: Eukaryota; Viridiplantae; Streptophyta; Magnoliopsida; Malpighiales; Euphorbiaceae. The record is from RNAcentral.
GAAAUCUGAAUGGGAUUGAAAUCUUUUCAUUAUGAUAUCAUCAAAGGUGAAUUGUGGUUGUAGUAGUUCAUCAUUCGGGAUAGGUCGGUCAGGCUAGCAAUGGCAAAGAUAACUGUUCUUUUGAACUUAAUAGUGAUCCUUGCUUAAUCUACUAUAUUUCUGGUCUAUCAAGAGUUCUAAGACCUAUUAAACAUAUUGAAGUUAUGUUACUUGCCUUGAAAUCACAUUUUUGCUUCCACGUAUAGCAGUUGCAUUUUAUUUCAAAAAUCUUGAAUUUGAC